GAAACUUUUAGAGUACAAAAGUAUGCAAGCACACUUUCUGUUUAUUGUCAACACAAUGAUAUAAUUUGUAGUUAUUAAAAAGGAAUUGUUAUGACCUUGCAGACCCCUACAGUGAUCUCAUGGAUCCCCAGGAGUCUCCAGAUACAUUUUGAACAUCGGUCAUCAAGUCCAAACUUCUCAAUGUGCUGUCUGGAGAUGAAACAUCAUUCAAUAGACAACGAGGAGAAAGAAAGGAGGACGAGGCUAAAGAUCAGAAACGCUGACCCUGACAUUCCUGAGCUACUGAACCAGCUUCAAAAGUCAUUGAUUUCUAGACUUUCUGGUAAUUCAUCCUGUGCUUGGAUGUCUCAGGGAUGUGCUCAAAUGUGUCCCAGCAGAAGAAGGUAGGCACUUCCCAUUUGGAGAUCCAAAGAUUUCAAAGAGGUAAAGGACGCAGCCUUGAAAAAGAGAAGUGGUGAUUGAAAACAUGGAGAAAAGGUUUGAGGAAGAGAAAAUCAACAAGAAUACAUUCUUCUCUAGUCAAAGAAAUAGCCCAGCAGGUACACUGUUCAGUGAGUCGCCCAUUUCAGGUAAAUGGGUUUAGACAAAGGACGCCAUUUAACUAUACCUCCCAGAUCUCCUCCCAGAUCUUUGACCACUGACAGAUAUGAUGUCCUGACAGACAGGAUGACCACAGUCAUCCGCAUCGUGAGCAACAGAAAGAUAACAGAGCAAGUUACAAAGAUUGUAGAGUGAUUGGAAUUGAUUAGAAGUGCCAGAUGAAAUUCAAUUCUUCAAAAGGUGAAGAAAAUGGGUUACUUAGUUGAAAUACAAUGUAGAAAGGCAAUGAAUUCAAUGAAAUAAGUAAGGUCAGCAAGGCCUUGGAAAGAAAUAGAGAAAAUUAGGAAGAGGAACAUUAUUGUGUUUAUAUUCUUAUGAGAACAAAAAGGAAAGAAAAAACACAGUGGGAGUUUAAUCAAGUAGUUAAGAGCUUUUUGCAUACAGUUUUGAAAAGAGAGAAAAUAUGUGCACUUAGAGACUGGGUCAUACAGGGACUAGUUAGACCCAUUCUGGAAAGUGCCCAGGAAAAGUUUGACAGGAUUUUUGACACAGAAAGAUGAAGCUCUGGAGACAAAAAAUAAUUCAGCUUUAUCAGCCCUCCCACUGAGAAGGACGCUUUUGUGAGAGACAGAUGACACAACUGCUGAGAAAAUCUUUGCUGGCCACCUAAAUGUAUGUCUAGGAAACCAAAGAUCAGCACAAUUUAGGAAAAUUAACAGCAUGAAAUGGAAGGCUUAAUCAGAACAAAUGACAAGGAAGAGAACAGAUAAUUUAGGGAACAAAAGAAAAAAAAUUCUGAUGGAUGUCCUUAGAAGGAUUAUAGAGGAUGCUGCAUCCGAAAACAAAAUCAAGCUUCUAUAAAAAGAAGCAAUCAGAAAACAACAAAAAGUUUCAG
Molecule: long non-coding RNA, 1435 nt
Filed under: Macaca mulatta (Rhesus monkey)
Lineage: Eukaryota; Metazoa; Chordata; Mammalia; Primates; Cercopithecidae
Description: lncRNA (ENSMMUG00000058250.1)
Source: RNAcentral